GCAACGGCAAAAUCCGUUGCCGGGAUUUGCACCCCGGAAUUGAUCACAGCGCACGACCGCGCUUUAGCGGUUUUUUU
Edwardsiella ictaluri 93-146 is the source of this 77-nucleotide non-coding RNA. The record is from Rfam. NCBI's taxonomy places the organism in Bacteria, Pseudomonadati, Pseudomonadota, Gammaproteobacteria, Enterobacterales, Hafniaceae.